Lolium perenne is the source of this 221-nucleotide non-coding RNA. Lineage: Eukaryota; Viridiplantae; Streptophyta; Magnoliopsida; Poales; Poaceae. The record is from RefSeq and is a predicted model, not a curated record.
AACAUCUAAGAUUUUUAAUUAUCUUAAAGAAUCUUGAUAAAUGUUUUUAUUUGCAAUUUAAACAUCUAAGAGUAGUAGACUGACAAUUAGCUAGCCUUCAUUUUGCUUCGUUGUUAUCGUUCAUGGAAAUCGGGCCUCUAAGGUGUUGUCGCCCACAUUUGUUCUUGUAAAAUUUAGACACUUCUCAUAUGAUCAAUUACUUGUGUUUCCGGCACUCAUAA